This 421-nucleotide ribosomal RNA is filed under the name uncultured bacterium. RNAcentral's name for it is "partial 16S ribosomal RNA". It matches the Rfam family "Bacterial small subunit ribosomal RNA", at positions 360 to 773 of the family's 1533-position model. The record is from RNAcentral.
AAUCUUGCGCAAUGCGCGAAAGCGUGACGCAGCAACACCGCGUGAGGGAAGACGGCCCNAGGGUUNUNAACCUCUUUCAGAUGGGNCGAAGGUUCGGCGGUGAAUAGCCGACCGAAUUGACGGUACCGUCAGAAGAAGCUCCGGCUAACUACGUGCCAGCAGCCGCGGUAAUACGUAGGGAGCGAGCGUUGUCCGGAAUCAUUGGGCGUAAAGAGCAUGUAGGUGGAUCAAUUAGUCUGCUGUGAAAGUCGAAGGCUCAACCUUCGAAAGCCGGUGGAUACUGUUGAUCUAGAGUACGGAAGAGGCGAGUGGAAUUCCUGGUGUAGCGGUGGAAUGCGCAGAUAUCAGGAGGAACACCAGUGGCGAAGGCGGCUUACUGGACUGUAACUGACACUGAGGCUCGAAAGCGUGGGGAGCAAAC